AAAGCUUGCUUUUGAUGGGCGUCGACCGGCGCACGGGUGAGUAACGCGUAUGCAACCUGCCCUUCACAGGGGGAUAACAGUUGGAAACGACUGCUAAUACCGCAUAAGCGCACGGUAUCGCAUGAUACAGUGUGAAAAACUCCGGUGGUAUGAGAUGGACCCGCGUCUGAUUAGCCAGUUGGCAGGGUAACGGCCUACCAAAGCGACGAUCAGUAGCCGACCUGAGAGGGUGACCGGCCACAUUGGGACUGAGAUACGGUCCAAACUCC
Molecule: ribosomal RNA, 269 nt
Filed under: uncultured Lachnospiraceae bacterium
Lineage: Bacteria; Bacillati; Bacillota; Clostridia; Lachnospirales; Lachnospiraceae
Description: partial 16S ribosomal RNA
Rfam family: Bacterial small subunit ribosomal RNA
Source: RNAcentral